UAGGAGUGUAUAUCAACGAUACCUUAAUGGAAAAAAAAAAGAAGAUGAUGAUUAAAUUUUGCUGUUUUGUCUGGACUAAAGAACCGAUUUGCUGAAAGGACUCCUCGCCCAGACUCCCCCACUUGAGUUCUUUACCCACUGCUUCCAGCCUGGAGACCUGGUGUUAGCAAAGUCCUGGAAAGAAGACCGACUGCAGCCCAGCUGGGAAGGCCCCUACCAAGUGUUCCUGACCACGGAGACUGCAGUGCGGACGGUGGAAGAGGGCUGGACUCACUACACCAGAAUCAAGAAAUUGACUGAGGGAUCUGGGGGCAAAACGGAGAACUGGAAGGUGUCCCAAGUGGCUGACCACCCCUUGAGGCUAAAACUGAAAAGGAUCUAAAAUGUUAAUCUUUAUGCUUCUAACUCUAUAUUUUACAGGCAUCUCUCAGGGAAGCCUAGAAUGGGAAGGAACUCCUGGUUAUCCUGUCAAACUGGUGAUCAAUAUUACAAAACCAUCAGGCCCCCAAACCAUCAGGUUUGAUGCUUGUCAGGUUCUCUCUUGUGGUGACCUAAAUAACCAAAGACAGCUUUCUGGAGACAAUAAGUAUCUCUGUCCUGAAUGGACGAGUGUUAGUGGACCAAAAAAAGCAAACGGGCCCCCGUGUCCAGGCUGGAGCAAUGUUUGGUGGACUACCCAGUUUCAAGGGUGGACAGCCCCUCAUGCGACAGGGAAACCUUUGAAAGGAAAGCUCCACUUGGCUAAAGGCAUUCCUCCUGCAAAUUGCCAGGACAAACAAUGUAACCCCCUCUUGUUAACUAUAAAUAACCCUCAAGAUUUAGACUCGGACCCUGUAAUUGCUCCUCGUGUUUACGGACUUGGUGCCGAUGUUACUGGAAUAGAUCCCUUGGGAAGGUUUGGUCUUAAUUUAAUCAAAGACAAGAUUUUACCCAUAGUGACCACCACCCCCAAUCCUGAGGUAGAUAGUGAACCAGAACCUUCCCUUAAUCACCCUAAACUAGUUACUGUACAGACUGGUUAGAAGGAUGGUUUGGAAAACAGAAAGGUAUGGUUGCUUCUGUUUUAACAUCUCUUGUUAUAGUUGAGGAAUUUUAACUGCUAUAGGAUGCUGUAUCAUCCCUUGUGUGAGAGGCCUGACCCAGAGGCCUAUAAAGGCAGCCGUAAACAAACAAAUACCUAUGACAUGCACCUAAUCUUACAUGUUGGAAGAUAAAUUUGACAACGAAUAAGAGAGCAAAAAUAUAUUAGAAAAGUUUGAAAAAGAACCGGGCAUGAGUUGAAGUAUAUUACUGGGAAUCAGAAAUUCUUAAAUAAGAGGGGGAACUGCUAGAAAAAGCCUAAAACCUAAACGUGAUUUAUUCCCACCCACCAGGGGGUUUAAACACAAGGUAUUAGGUAUUGACAAAAAGCCCAUGUGGUGACAUACAUGCCUGGAAGUUGCUCAGGCUCGGAGGGGGAAGGAAUGUGAGAAGGCUGUGCAUAUUCAGGAGCAGUGGGGAAAGUUUUGAACCACCCAAUAAAGUUAAGACAAAUGUAAAGAAAGCCUAAUAUGAUAUAACUUGCUUAGGUGACAUCCAGGUGAGAAUGCGAACCCUGUAGUACUCAGCCAAUGAGGAACCAGGAGAGGGAGUCACAUGCUAAGGAAUAAAUUGUCUGUUGUAACCACGCUAAAUGGGCCUGCUCACCAGACGCCUGAUCCUGCAAGACUGCCAUUAAAUAGGCUCGCUGCACUGUU
Non-coding RNA from Manis javanica (Malayan pangolin), 1736 nucleotides. The record is from RefSeq and is a predicted model, not a curated record. NCBI's taxonomy places the organism in Eukaryota, Metazoa, Chordata, Mammalia, Pholidota, Manidae.